RNAcentral lists this ribosomal RNA (243 nucleotides) under uncultured bacterium. RNAcentral describes it as "partial 16S ribosomal RNA". It matches the Rfam family "Bacterial small subunit ribosomal RNA", at positions 534 to 776 of the family's 1533-position model. The record is from RNAcentral.
GCUAGUGUUGUCCGGAAUCAUUGGGCGUAAAGAGCGUGUAGGCGGCUCGAUAAGUCCGCUGUGAAAGUCCAGGGCUCAACCCUGGGAUGCCGGUGGAUACUGUCGGGCUCGAGUCCGGAAGAGGCGAGUGGAAUUCCUGGUGUAGCGGUGAAAUGCGCAGAUAUCAGGAGGAACACCAAUGGCGAAGGCAGCUCGCUGGGACGUGACUGACGCUGAGACGCGAAAGCGUGGGGAGCAAACAGG